RNA transcript from Eucalyptus grandis, 2870 nucleotides. RefSeq lists it as uncharacterized. The record is from RefSeq and is a predicted model, not a curated record. NCBI's taxonomy places the organism in Eukaryota, Viridiplantae, Streptophyta, Magnoliopsida, Myrtales, Myrtaceae. The transcript is spliced from 8 exons.
UAAGCUUUAUUUAGACGAUUCGGGCAUUAGGGGCUUGCCGGAGAGCAUUUCGAAGCUCUCUUCUGUCCAGUGUCUCGACCUUAGGGGCUGCAAAAACCUUCGAGAAAUACCGACACUGCCCUUAAGCUUAACAGCUCUACAUAUCGAUUUCCCGACUCCAUCGUUGCCAUUUCUUUCUAAACUAACCCUUCUUCAGGAACUCACUCUUUUCGAUCUCCGUCCUCUUGAAUGUCUCUCAGAGUUUCCCGUCCGACUAUCGACGUUUCAUCUUAAACCUAGUUCUUCGGUGAAUGACGAUCUGAGGGAUUUGGAGAAGCGAUUAUCCGAAUUGAUUCGCGACAAGUCCUCCGGGCUAAGAGAACUCACUGGAUCCAGUUGGACAUAUGCUGAUCGCACCCCCAGAAGAAAACUCAUUGGAUCCAAAUGGACAUAUCCUGAUUCCCCCAGGUACCAAAUUUUCUUCAGCUACCAAAUUGGUGAGGCAACGAACCCGACCAUUGCAAAAUCAAGCGAAGAAGGAGACCCUCUCUUUGAUGAGGCAGCGAGCCCAGGCACUCUAGCAGUCGCAACAUCAAGCGAAGAAGGAGACCUCUCUCUCUCUCUCUUGGCCGUAUAAAUUUCGGCGACCGAACCCGACCAUUGCAAAAUCAAGCGAAGAAGGAGACCCCCUCUCUCUCUCUCUCUCUCCGCGCGUGCGCGCCGAGCUUGUAAAGACUCUAGCUGAAGGAAGCUUCUGGAGGCAAAGUACGAAAACACAUAGGCAAAGGAGAGUGGUCAUGCUGCUGGACUUGUAGCGCUUUGGAUCCCUAAAGUUCGUUGGGUUCUUUCGAGCUAAUCAUCAGGCGUGAAUUUGAUAGGCUGCAGGGCUGCAAGAUCAUGAACAGGAUUAGCAGUGUUACACAAAGAUAUGAAGCGUCACUUCCAGGUGGUGGUGGAGAUGGAGUGGUCCCAGUGGUUGGGGCUGGCAGCUACCAGACGCAUGAAGUUUUGGCAUUAGUUAAGACAAAACGUUGAUUAGGCGUUCCCAGGUUCUCCAGAGGCAAAGGGUCAGUGGAUCCUUCAACUUUGAAGAUUCCACGGGAAACAAAUUGCUGUGAGUCACGAGAAUCUAGUCGAGAUUUGCAGGACCUUUCGAGUUCGAAACAUCUGGGGCUAUCAUGUGUUGCCAAUCGCAAGAGUCUGAUAUUCGUGGUUGCACUUACCUUGGAAGAUUAUUGGAUCUAUCAUGCUUGAAAACCCUGAUAAUACUGAACAUCAACCACUGUGAAGAGCAAGAUGAUAUUCAAAGCCUAGAGGUAUUCUCAUCCUGCAAAAGUUUGUGUAUUCAAGGAUGCAAGUUGUUAGAGUUCCUAGAUGCUUGGAAAUUUGAAGAUUUAAGGAACUUGAUAGUGACAGCUUGUUGGUAACCAUCUGACAUCUCAGGGCUCAAAGGAUUGAGAUACCUAUAAAGUAUAUAGAUUUCAUGAUGCUAGUCAAUUGUCGCAUGAGACUGCGACAAACUAAUUGAGCCUGGAGGGCUUGGAGACUAGGAGCUCCAGAAGCUUUAGACAUUUUUAGAUGCAAGCCAAUAUGUGAAUUGUCUUGAGCUUUCCUCAUAUGGAAUAUGAGAGCAAUUGUUAUGUCAGGUAUUCAUGAGAUCACAUUCUCGUGAUAGUUUGAUAUUUGAGAUGACCCCUGUCCUCUAAUAAGGCAAAAUCUUAGAUGACAAAAUCAUGAAUGAAGCUGGCAGUCCUGGUGAAUCAUCUGCACACUGGCUUAUAUGUGAUAUUAAUACGGUUGAAAUUACAGAAUGUUGAAAGAACAAGCAGAUCUUUAAGAAAAUCCCUUUGACCUAGUCAUCUCAGUUUCUUAAGGUAAUUUGGUGAUUGACAUGUGGAUUAUUAAGGAAGCUUCUGGAGGCAAAGUACAAAAACCCAUAGGUGAAGGAGAGUGGUCAUGCUGCUGGACUUGUGGCACUCUGGAUUCCCAAAACUCAUCGGGUUCUUUCAAGCUAAUCAUCAGCGUGAAUUUGAUAUGCUGCAAGGUUGCAAGAGAAGCUUGUGGAGGCAGAGUACAAAAUCACAUAGGCAAGGAAGAGCGGUCAUGCUGCUGGGCUUGCGGCCCUUGGGAUCCCCACAAUGCAUUGGGUUCUUUCAAGCUAAUCAUCAGGACUAGCAGUGUUACACGGAGAUAUGAAGUGUCACUUCCAGGUGGUGGCGGAGAUGGAGUGGUCCCAGUGGUUGGGGCUGGUAGCUACAGGGAUCCAGCUAGACUGGAGUUGGGGGCAGUGUAAUUUUCACUGACAGUGACAGCUAAUUUUUGGCCUUGAGAGCAACGAUCGCUGUUAGCAAAGGUGUAGACAGAGUAAGACUCGCAGGCAGUGUCGAGGGAAAUGUUGGCUGGUCCGUGGUCAGUGUAUGAACAUAGAAGCACUGUGGCAGUUAUUAUCACCAUUUGACAUGCUGACGACGUCAUGCGACCCUGCUUUGAAGUAGAACACUGCAAAAAUAAUGGAAGAUCAUUGGCAUUAAAAGGGCGAAGGUCAAGAUUGAUUUUUCGGCCCCUAAAGCUCAAGAUUGAUUGCACAUAAGUACAUGCAUGCAAUUGUGUGCAAUUUAAACCAGGAGAUUUUACUAACAGAGCUUCUGUAAGCUGGAAAUUAUGAGAACCAUUUUUCGCUUAUCUUGAUUUGUUUUAGCUUUCCAGCAUUUAUGCUCCAAAAAGAAUGGGACAUUGAGUUCUCUUCAGGAAGUUAUACAUAGAUUUGUGUCUCUCCCCUUUGUGAGAGCUUCUCUCUCUUUGUCAAGAGCUUUCCCUACAUCACAAUGAUGUUUUCUUUCACCUAUGUUCCUUCAUGAUCGUCACCCCCCAUUCUUCUCGAUAAUCCAUAA